Molecule: non-coding RNA, 233 nt
Organism: Callithrix jacchus (white-tufted-ear marmoset)
Lineage: Eukaryota; Metazoa; Chordata; Mammalia; Primates; Cebidae
Source: Rfam
AAUGAGAAGUACCAGGAGCCUGAGCGGAAAGUGUUUCAGAGGCGCGUGUAAAUGCCCAGGGGCGCCAGGAGGCAGCAGCAACCGCACAGCGUGGGACGGCUGGGCGCACCGGAAGGGAAGCAACCGGUGCAGUCUGGCCUCCUGUACCUGGCUCGCCCGGGCUGGGGCUCCAAGCUUUCCAGCCAAACUUAGGUGAAGCAAAGUAGUUGCAGUUUGACAAAGGAUGGCGUUUU